CCUCCUUUAUUCCGCCGUGGGGGAUAUUGGACAAUGGGGGGAACCCUGAUCCAGCGACGCCGCGUGAGUGAAGAAGUAUUUCGGUAUGUAAAGCUCUGUCAGCAGGGAAGAAAGAAAUGACGGUACCUGACCAAGAAGCCCCGGCUAACUACGGGCCAGCAGCCGCGGUAAUACGUAGGGGGCAAGCGUUAUCCGGAAUUACUGGUGUUAAAGGGAGCGUAGACGGUUAAGUAAGUCUGGAGUGAAAGGCCGGGGCCCAACCCCGGGACUGCUCUGGAAACUAUUGAACUUGAGUGCAGGAGUGGUAAGCGGAAUUCCUAGUGUAGCGGUGAAAUGCGUAGAUAUUAGGAGGAACACCAGUGGCGAAGGCGGCUUACUGGACUGUAACUGACGUUGAGGCUCGAAAGCGUGGGGAGCAAACAGGAUUAGAUACCCGAGUAGUC
RNAcentral lists this ribosomal RNA (443 nucleotides) under uncultured bacterium. RNAcentral describes it as "partial 16S ribosomal RNA". It matches the Rfam family "Bacterial small subunit ribosomal RNA", at positions 338 to 795 of the family's 1533-position model. The record is from RNAcentral.